RNAcentral lists this long non-coding RNA (243 nucleotides) under Nicotiana benthamiana. RNAcentral's name for it is "long non-coding RNA (NBEN_LNC042058)". The record is from RNAcentral. Lineage: Eukaryota; Viridiplantae; Streptophyta; Magnoliopsida; Solanales; Solanaceae.
UUUUAUCAAACUACUCCUACCAACGAAAAGGUAAGGAACCCAAUACAAUCAUCUCAUUACAAAGGCAUGCUCAUAAUAAUUAACAAAGAAGCAAAAGUGGGAUCAUCUACAAAUUGUGACUGCCGUUAUUUAGCUUAGAAACUGAGGGACGAGAUUGAUCCUUGGAAUCCAACUCAGUCUGCCAAACUACUACUCUACUUGCUUCAGAUGUAAUUGUUCUCUAAUAAAAUUCAUACAUCUGAG